This 4182-nucleotide long non-coding RNA is filed under the name Homo sapiens (human). Its description in RNAcentral is "HSALNT0230846". The record is from RNAcentral. Lineage: Eukaryota; Metazoa; Chordata; Mammalia; Primates; Hominidae.
GAUGGCGGAGUGUGUGUCCUGGCCAUGAGACACAGCCUUGCUCUGUUGCCCAAGCUGGGGUACAGUGGUAUGAUCAUAGCUCACUGCCACCUUGAACUCCUGAGAUCAAGCGAUCCUCCUGCCUCGGCUUCCAACUAGCUAGAACUACACACUUGUCACCCCAUAUGGCUAAUUUUUAAUUUUUUUUUUAAGAGCCGGGGUCUUGUUAUGUUGCCCAGGCUGGUCUUGAGCUCCUGGUCUCAAGUGAUUCUCCUGCUUCAGCCUCCCAAAGUGCUGGGAUUAUAGGUGUGAACCACUGCUCCUAGCUUUCAUCAGUUUCUUGAAGUCCAGAUCAUCCAUAAAACAAUAAAUCAAGCCCUGCUUUGUGGUGUUUGCUGAUUUCCACGGUGUAAAGACUUCUACUAUGGCCAGUUUAAAACAACAUGAUGUCACUAACCCUGAAGUGGGGAAGAGAUGCACAGGAGCACACAAGCACAUACUAUUUUCACUAUAAAGUUACAAUAGAUAUAAAUAACCCCAAGAGCACGGAUCAUAGGAGAAUAAUUAGAAAGUGAUGAUUUUUAAGAAUUACUAACUUUUGUUUUUAAUAUAAUUUAUUUGAUUGUAAAUUUAUAUGAUUUGAUUUUUAAUGGUAGAUGUAUUUAACAACCCACUGACACUUUUUUUUUUUUGGAAAAUUGAACUAUUGACCUUUGCAAGCUGGUAUGAACGACCUCCAGCAUAGACACUGAAUGGGAUAAAAUAAUGCAAGACCUAAUACAUUUUAGUUACUCAAAAUAAUUUAGCUAUUAUUGUUAGUAGUAGUAGUAGUGAUAGUGAUACUACAUAAGUAGUAUUUUAACACUACUUCUUACCCACUAAGAGAUAUCUGCCCUGUAACAUGUUGAUUUAGUCACAAAUUGUGACUAAUUUUCUUCAUUUGUGAAAUGGAGUUCACAAUCCUGUCUCUAUUUCCUAGAAGUCUCAGUGAAAUGUAUGGAAACACUUUGGGAAUGCUAUGUGUCUGGAAACUGGGUAGGGCCAGGUAAAGCCACAGAGACAGCAGCAAGUAUAGGCAGCUUAUACUUGUGAUGUGUGUGUGUAUGUGUGUACAAAUACUUUUAAGAUAUUGAGAUAAAAUGUCAAACACUGGAGUGCACACAUCUGAAGUCUACAAUUUGGGCUUUGACAAGUGUGUGACUGAUAACAUUUCCAUCACUGUAGGGGGUUCCCUAAUGCCCUUUUCCAGUUCAGUCCUUCCACUCCCACCAUAGGCUAUGAAUGUUCUUAUUUUUGUCAACAUAGAUCCAUUUUGUCUGUUUUUGAACUUAAUAUACAAUCAUCCAUCAUUUAACAACGGAGAAUUGCUCUGAGCAAUACAUUGGUAGGUGAUUUUGUUAUUGCGUGAACAUUACAGAGUGUACUUACACAAACCUGUAUGGUAUAGCCUACUACAUACACACCUAGGCUAUCUGGUAUAGCCUAUUGCUUCUAGGUUACAAACAUGUAGUGCACGUAUACUGUACUGAAUGCCACAGGCAAUUGUAACAUAGUGGUAUUUGUGCAUCCAAACAUAGCUAAAUAUAGGAAAGGUACAGUGAAAAUAUGAAAUAAUCUUACGAAACCAUCAUCAUUGACUGAGACAUCAUUAUACAGUGCAUGACUGUAAAUGCAGUCAUACAUGUGUAAUCUUUUAUGUCUGGCUUAGUUUGCCCAACAUUAUGUUAUUGAAUCCAUCCAUAUUUAGCAUGUAUCAGUAGUUCUUUAGUUUUGCUUGCUGAGUAUCCCACUUGUAAUUCACUUAUUAAUGGACAUUGGGGUGGUUUCCAGUUUGGGGCUAUUAUAACUAAAAUUUCUAUGAGCAUUCUUACACAUGUAUUUGGGGGACCACAUAUAUUUUCAUCUCCUUUGGGUAAAUACUACCUACGAGUAGAAUUGCUUGGUCAUUGGUAAGAUUUACUUCAGACACCUACCUAGGGUGGUUGUACUAAUUUAUAUACCCACUAUCAAUGUGUGGGACUUCUGGCUGCUCCAGAUUUCUGCCAAUAUUUAGUGUUGUCAGUGUUUUUAAUUUUAGUUAUUAUCGUGGGUGUGUAGAAGUAUCUCAUGUGGUUAUAAUUUGUAUUUCCUUGAAGACCAAUAACAUUGAGCAAUUUUUUGCAAGUGUAUUCUAUGACAUUUACAUAUGUUCCUUCAUUAAGUGCCUAUUCAAAUUUGUGCUUAUUGUUUAUUGAAUUGUUAAUAUCUGUUAUUAUUGAGUUGUAGGACUUCCUUAUAUAUCAUAAUUUUUAGCCUUUCAUCAAGGAUUUGUUUUGCAAAUAUUUUCUCCCAGACCAUGGCUUGCCUAUUAAUAUUAUUAACAAGACCUUUUGAUGACCAUUUAAAAAAGUUGAUGGAUUCUAAGUUAUUAUUUUUUCUCUAUUGUUAUUGUUGUUUAUAUCUUAUCUAAUGAAUUUUUGCCUACCCCCCAGGUAGUGAAGAUAGUCUUCUGUGCUUUUUUUCUACAUUUUUAUAGUUUUAGCUUUUACAUUUAAGUCUAUGAUCUAUCUCAAUUUGUGUACGGUGUGAGGUAGGGGUUAAAGUUCCCUUUCCACCUUCUAUUUAUACAGUUGUUUCAGCACUAUUUGUUGAGAAAACUUCUUUCUUUAAGUUGCCUGGAUGACUUUCUUGAGAAUCAAAUGAUUGUAUAUGUGUGAAUCUUCUUCUGGUCUCUCUAUUCUAUUCUAUUGAUCAAUUUUUCUAUACUUUUCAUUACUAUACUAUUUUGGUUAUUAUGGCUUUAUAGGAAAUCUUGAAAUCAAAUCAUAUGAAUGCUUCAAUUUUGUCUUUUUUCUCUCUCAAAAUUGUUUUGGCUAUUCAAGCUCCUUUGAAUUUUGAUGUAAAUUUAGGAAUCAACUUGUAAAUCUAUACAAAAAUAAACUUUCUGGGAUUUUGAUUGAGACUGUCUUGAAUAUUUAUAUUAAUUCUGGGACAAUGGACAUCUUAACAACAUUGAGCUUUCAAUCUAUGAACAUGGUAUAUCUAUUUAUUGAGGCCUGAUUUCAUUCCCCACAGCAAAGUUUUUUAGUUUUUGGUGUGGAGUUUUGUUCAUAUGUUGUUACAUUUAUUCCUUAUUAUGUUUUAUAUAUUAUGGCAAUGGUAUAAUUUUUAAAUUUAUUUACAAUAGUAGUAUUUUAUUUACUAUUAUAUACAAAUAUAAUUGUUUUUUGUAUAUUAACCUUGUUUCCUGCAAUCUUAUUCAAUCCACCUCUUAGUUUGAAUAGUAUUUUUGGUAGGUUGCUUAGGAUUUUUCUAUCUAAACAAUCAUUGUCUAAGGCAGCUCAGGCUGUCAAAACAAAAUACCAUAAACUGGGUGGCUCAAACAACAGACAUUGGCUGGGUGCCAUGGCUCAGGCCUGUAAGGCCAGCACUUUGGGAGGCCAAGGUGAGUGGAUCACCUGAGGUCAGGAGUUCAAGGCUAGCCUGGUCAACAUGUUGAAACCCUGUCUCUACUAAAAAUGCAAAAAUUAGCCAGGCAUGGUGGUGCACCUCUAUAAUCCCAGCUACUCAAGAAGCUGAGUGGGAGAAUUGCUUGAACCUGGCAGGCAGAGGUUGCAGUGAGCCAAGAUGGUGCCACUGCCUUCCAGCCUGGGCAACAGAGCAAGACUCCGUCAAACAAAAACAAAAACAAAAACAAGAAAACCUAGACAUUUAUUUCUCAGUUCUGGAGGCUGGUAACUGUAUCACCAGAUUUGGUUCUUGGUGAGGGCCCUCUUUCUGGCUUGCAAAUGACUACCUUCUCUUUGUAGCUUCACAUGGCAGAGAGAGGACACUGAUAUUUCUUCCUCUAAGAAGUGGUGGCAGUACUUAUAUGGGUACUAAUCCCAUCAUAAGGGCUUCACCGUCCUGAGCUCAUCUAAAUCUAAUUACCUCACAAAAGUCUCACCUCCUAAUACUAUCACAUUGGGGGGUUGAAGCUUCAACAUAGCCUCCUCCUCCUGAGGAGGAGACAUAAAUAUUUAGUCAAUAAUAAUAAUGUAAUCUAGAAAUAAAUGUAACUAUUUCUUCUUGAUAUUUAUGGCUUUCAAUUAGUUUUCCUCUUCUUUAAAAAAAAAUGUUUUUUAAGCCUACAGCACCCGGUAUUCCCUUGAAGUCUCCCAUCCAAGCACUAACCAGGCCUGACCCUGCUUAGGUUCAUAAGAUCAGAUGAGAUAGGGCAUAUUC